GACGAACGCUGGCGGCGUGCCUAAUACAUGCAAGUAGAACGCACAGUUUAUACCGUAGCUUGCUACACCAUAGACUGUGAGUUGCGAACGGGUGAGUAACGCGUAGGUAACCUGCCUGGUAGCGGGGGAUAACUAUUGGAAACGAUAGCUAAUACCGCAUAAUAUUAAUUAUUGCAUGAUAAUUAAUUGAAAGGUGCAAUUGCACCACUACCAGAUGGACCUGCGUUGUAUUAGCUAGUAGGUGAGGUAACGGCUCACCUAGGCGACGAUACAUAGCCGACCUGAGAAGGUGAUCGGCCACACUGGGACUGAGACACGGCCCAGACUCCUACGGGAGGCAGCAGUAGGGAAUCUUCGGCAAUGGACGAAAGGCUGAACGAGCAACGCCGCGUGAGGGAAGAAGGGUUUCGGAUCGUAAAGCUCUGUUGUAAGAGAAGAACGGGUGUGAGAGUGGAAAGUUCACACUGUGACGGUAUCUUACCAGAAAGGGACGGCUAACUACGUG
Molecule: ribosomal RNA, 505 nt
Filed under: uncultured bacterium
Lineage: Bacteria
Description: partial 16S ribosomal RNA
Rfam family: Bacterial small subunit ribosomal RNA
Source: RNAcentral